This is a long non-coding RNA of Priapulus caudatus, 238 nucleotides long. RefSeq lists it as uncharacterized. Lineage: Eukaryota; Metazoa; Priapulida; Priapulimorpha; Priapulimorphida; Priapulidae. The record is from RefSeq and is a predicted model, not a curated record. The transcript is spliced from 2 exons.
GAGAGAGAGAGAGAGGAGAGAGAGAGAGAGAGAGAGAGAAGAGAGAGAGAGAGAGAGAGAGAGAGAGAGAGAGCGCGCAAAUAUGCGUUACGCACAUUUUCUCAAUAACUACUAGUGUUGAAAAAAUAUAUAUGUAUAAAUAUGUAAUAAAUAAUUAUGUAUAAACCGCCCGAGACAAAUUAGUAAACGAAUGUACUACAGUCACGAAUAAAACUCACUUGUUAUUACAGUUACCAAU